This 497-nucleotide ribosomal RNA is filed under the name uncultured bacterium. Its description in RNAcentral is "partial 16S ribosomal RNA". It matches the Rfam family "Bacterial small subunit ribosomal RNA", at positions 28 to 507 of the family's 1533-position model. The record is from RNAcentral.
GACGAACGCUGGCGGCGUGCCUAAUACAUGCAAGUUGAGCGCUGAAGGUUGGUACUUGUACCAACUGGAUGAGCAGCGAACGGGUGAGUAACGCGUGGGGAAUCUGCCUUUGAGCGGGGGACAACAUUUGGAAACGAAUGCUAAUACCGCAUAAAAACUUUAAACACAAGUUUUAAGUUUGAAAGAUGCAAUUGCAUCACUCAAAGAUGAUCCCGCGUUGUAUUAGCUAGUUGGUGAGGUAAAGGCUCACCAAGGCGAUGAUACAUAGCCGACCUGAGAGGGUGAUCGGCCACAUUGGGACUGAGACACGGCCCAAACUCCUACGGGAGGCAGCAGUAGGAAAUCUUCGGCAAUGGACGAAAGUCUGACCGAGCAACGCCGCGUGAGUGAAGAAGGUUUUCGGAUCGUAAAACUCUGUUGGUAGAGAAGAACGUUGGUGAGAGUGGAAAGCUCAUCAAGUGACGGUAACUACCCAGAAAGGGACGGCUAACUACGUG